CAAUAGCGUAUAUUAAAGUUGUUGCAGUUAGAACGCUCGUAGUCGGAUUUCGGGGCGGGCCGACCGGUCUGCCGAUGGGUAUGCACUGGUCGGCGCGUCCUUCCUUCCGGAGACCGUCCCUACUCUUAACUGAGCGGGGGCGGGAGACGGGACUUUUACUUUGAAAAAAUCAGAGUGUUUCAAGCAGGCAGCUCGCUCUUGCAUGGAUUAGCAUGGGAUAAUGAAAUAGGACUUUGGUGCUAUUUUGUUGGUUUCGAACACCGAAGUAAUGAUGAGAAGGGACAGUCAGGGGCACUCGUAUUCCGCCGAGAGAGGUGAAAUUCUCAGACCAGCGGAAGACGAACCACUGCGAAAGCAUUUGCCAGGGAUGUUUUCACUGAC
RNAcentral lists this ribosomal RNA (381 nucleotides) under uncultured eukaryote. RNAcentral describes it as "partial 18S ribosomal RNA". It matches the Rfam family "Eukaryotic small subunit ribosomal RNA", at positions 592 to 977 of the family's 1831-position model. The record is from RNAcentral.